AAAAAGUAUUUUCAUCGUCGCGGAGUGAAUUUUUUUGGAUCUGUUGUUUUAAUUGCUAUGCACGCAUUUAUGAAGGUAUGUAUCAAACACCUACGUUAUUGCAUUACUAGAUUAUCAUAUUUUGUCGUACGUUCAGUGUUGUUCUCCAAUUGAUAGUGGAUUUGUUGGAAAAAAUCAAGAUAUGGCCUUGAGUCGGGUGUGGGAGAGUUGAACCAGUCGGCAGUCGGGAGACUUAAACAGUGGUUCAACUCUCCCUUUGCAGUUUGUGCACUAUUUAAGUUAGUUUUUGUUUUGUUUCAGAAAGAAAAUUCCUAUAAGCCUAAUAAGCCUAAGGAAGGUAGUCGUCACAGGAAACCGUUUACUUAGUCUGAGAUUGAAAAUGCAGACAGAGAAAUAAAGAGUGGCAGAUCUAUUCGUCAAAUUUCAAUCAAUUAGUAUGGGAUAGACAGAACCAUUUUACGACGGUAUUACAUGUUAGAUGAACAAAAGUUAACACCUUUGCAAGACAAGAGGAGCCAAUACAAAUGCUCCCAGAUUUUCAAUGUAAAUAAAGAGACAUUACUCGUUCGUUACUCAUUGACCUGCAAAAUGCACUAUGGCUUAACCAGAAAACAAGCAAUGCAACUAGCAUUUGACUUCGCCAAUUUCAUUGAAUUACCACUUAUUAAACCUAUGUUGAUUUUACAUGUGCCACAUUUAAUCUUUGAGACUGAUAGUUAUAGUAACAAAUGUCUUUAAAUUAGUUUUGUAGAUUUAUGUAGCAGAUCAAAGAUCAAAACGAAUGUUAUGUUAUGCAGUUGCUCUGAAAACAUUUGGUUAAUUAUUUUCACUAAUUUGUUUAGAAGGUGAUUAUGAAUAUUUUAGUUAUUGUUAAACGUGUCUAAAUAAUACAUUAAUUAUGUGUAGGUAA
This is a long non-coding RNA of Colias croceus (clouded yellow), 910 nucleotides long. RefSeq lists it as uncharacterized. Lineage: Eukaryota; Metazoa; Arthropoda; Insecta; Lepidoptera; Pieridae. The transcript has 2 exons. The record is from RefSeq and is a predicted model, not a curated record.